GCCGGGGAGGCUGCAGAACCCAUAAAAGGAGCAAAGGGGGUAUAAACUGACGUCGUCGUCAUGCUGGUCGCUGAUGCAGCUGUUUGGAUUAGGAAGAGAUUAGAGAGCGCAUGAACGAUGAGUUUGAUUCAGAGGACGAUCAGGAAAAGGCAGGAGAAGAAGCCGGAGCUGCCCAGUCAGGGCUCUUCAGGCCUGUCCCAGUGUGCCCAGUCAUCAUCCAUCCAGAGCUGGACCUUGAGACUGGAUUUGACCCCGGCCGUCCCCCCGUCCCGUCCGACCCAGACCCUCCAUCUGUUGACAGCAUGCUGUCCACCCACACUGUGUCCCCAGGUGAACACGUCCCCUCCAUGUCUCCCGAAGGCCCCCCCCCAACUAAUGUGUCCGGUGUGCCCUGUGCCAGCGAAUCUCUCCACCCAGAUGUGUUGCAGCCCAGCUUUGAAGUGAGCAGUCAGAGGUUGGAGGAGCCCACAGGGGGCGGUUCCUCCACGCAGCCGCCUGCUCCGGCCCCGGCUCCGUGGCCACGGCAGGCUCAGGUUGGCGGGGAGGAACGCCCCCCCUCCGAGGACUCGUACCUCCAAACCACCGACACGCAUCCACCGCCAGCAUUAGAACAGGAAGAAACCAGCGAAAACAAGCCAACCGGCUGCGCGUGCACGUCUGCCCCCAGCGUGACCUUUGACCUUGAGGUGGCAGAGGGAGCGAGCGGACCCUCGGCUGCGUGGCCAGAUGCUUCUGCCAGACGUGGUGACGCAGCUGUAUCUCCCGUGGCAGAAGAUCUGGCACGUGCGGGAUCGGAAGGUGAGACUCUGGUGACGCCCGACGUAGCGGACUACCAAACUCUGAGUCCAUUUGCCUCUGACCCGAGUCAGAACCCACGUGACCAGGCUGUCUCAGAGACGAAGAGAGAAGAUGCUCCCCUGAAUCCAGCGAACUCGACAACAGAGGCUUCCGAGCUCCAGGCUGAGCCGGACAUCAGCAGGAAUCUAAUGUCCUCUGCUGUCUUCCUGGGUGGAAUUGUCUCCCUGUCUAUAGUGCUCCAGGAACCCAGUACCCUCUUCUUCAUGGGACUGCUUCUAGUCUUGCAGCGCUUGUGAUCAUGUCAGUCUUAACGCAUCACAUACCUGUAAAAGCGUAUCGCACGAGAGCUCCAAAAACGGAUUCACAAGCUUCCUCACUGCCCUCUAGUGGCCGUAUGCAGUAUUUCAAUAAAGCUGAAUGGGCAACGUAAAUAAACCUGCUGGAUGGAGAGAAAAAACAUGACGCCCUCAUAUUGUUUGCACAAAUAUCAGCCAUAUUUGCGUCGUGUGUGUGGCUUCACGCCCCAGUAAUGCACGUUCAACGCUAUCUUGAGUUUGCAAUAGCAAAAAAUUGGGACAAAACGUCACGGUUGGCAGAAAUUUGGCUGUGCUGUGUGUGUGGGCAGCCCCAUGUGUGUUUUCCAGCCUGUGCUGCACAGCCUUUGGCUCCCGGUGACAUCGCCAGCACAAGAUGGCGGCACCCACGUCCUAUUGCUCAAUGGUUCCACGUUUGUCCUGCAGCAGGAAGUAGCGAUAUAUUCUAAGUGCCUCAUGAUUCCAAACUAAGCCAGUAUAGAAACCCAGAAACACACACGUGUAGAUAUGGACCACUGUGAGUUUAAUUGAGAUCCCUGAUUUCAUCCGACGGCGGAGAUAUUUGUUGAUUUUUAGUGUUGAUGGAGACGGUAUGACACAAAUCCUGGCGAUAUUUUCAAGUGUUAAACAAUAAGUCGUUUCUAAUGGUGUGUAUAGGUGGCCUGUGUGUGUGUGUGUGUGUGUGUGUGUGUUAGAUUCAGUCAGUAAUGUUCUCAUUACAACUUUGAGCUUGUUGCUAGUUGAAUUCCACGCGCUGCCACGUCUUUACGAAGAAAAGAACCACUGAAGACACUUGUUACGCUGUUGUUGCCUUAAUGUGUGGAAAAAGAUUUCUCACUCGAGCACCAGCUUCCUUCACAUUUCCUCACUAUUGCACACAAAGUCUUCCUCCUGGUCCUCACUAGUUAGUGUUUGUGAAGCCGUGUGUGACUCGAUGAAAGUGAAAUUAAAGAGAACCCUGUAAGCAGCACUGUAAC
This 2089-nucleotide long non-coding RNA is filed under the name Takifugu rubripes (torafugu). RNAcentral describes it as "lncRNA (ENSTRUG00000027244.1)". The record is from RNAcentral. Lineage: Eukaryota; Metazoa; Chordata; Actinopteri; Tetraodontiformes; Tetraodontidae.